ACGUAUUUUGCAAAUUUUGAUAUCACAUAUUUUGUAAAUUUAAAAUAUUUCGUGAAAUUUAUUGUAAAUUUUACACUAAAUUCGUAAAAUUACGUUAAGUAAUUACGGAUUUCAUACACUAAGUUUUUUUGCGAUCUAGUUACGAUCGUAUUUCUUAUGGAUCUCUGAUCUGUAUAAAUUUAUAGAUCAUAUAUAAACUUUACAGAUUGUGUUUCAUCGACUCGGCCAAGAUGAAUACGUCAUCAUCAGACUUGUAUAAAUUUUAAGUUACAAACUGGAUCCGGAAUCAAUUGAACGACCAGAAACCUACCUGUUCUGGUACGCCUAAUUUGAAAAUCUGUUGCGAUCGACGAAUCCAAGAUUUGAAGGAUGGCAAGAAAAGAACUGGGUAGUCUUCGAUCGCCUGGAUACAAGCAUCUGUUGGACCUCCGAUGUAUUUACUUGUUAUGAACUAUGAAAAAGCAAGUGAUUGUUGGCUCACACUGAAGACAAACCUGUCACCUAGAAAGUCCAUUCACUCCCAAAGCAUUCAGGAUCAAUUGCAAAAUUUAAAAAAAACUGAUGACAUGACAAUGAAAGAAUAUCUGAUCCAGAUUCGCACGCUCACUGAUUCUCUAGCAUCGACUGGUGAUAGAGUUAAGGAUUCAUAUAUUAUUGAGUUCUAGCUGAAGGGGUAGGACCAGAGUUUCAUCCUUUCAUCUCCGGAAUACAUACCAACCCAAAUAUUUCUUUCGACGACUUCUUUCAUCUGAUUAUCCGGGAAGAAUUAUUUCUCAAGAGGAAUCAUGGUAUUGGAUCCCCACCAUUGGCUUUCGCAACAUAUACUAAAAACUGGAAUCGUGGUCGAGGUCGUGAUAAUCGAGGAGGUCGUGCUAGGAGAAAUUGAGGCAGAGGUCAAAAAUGGCAAGGAAAUAAAUCUGCCCAAUCUUUUGGAAGGUAAAUGAAAAUAAAGUUGUCUGUCAGUUAUGUGAUAAAUCAGGACAAUCAGCCAAAACUUGUAGAAGAGGUUUUCAAACAUUUGCUACUGCGGUAAAUGAAGAAGAAGAUUACGAAGGAAACUAGUUAUUAGACUCUGGUGCGACAAACCAUAUGACACCGGAUAUCAACAACAUGACUGAUGUACAAGCAUACACAAGUAAACAAGCUAUAAUUGUUGGUAAUGGAUUAGGAUGCCCAUUACACAUGUCGGGACAGUGGUGUUAAAAACACCCUAUGGUCCGUUGUUAUUAAAGAACACACUUUGUCUUUCUAAAUUAAAAAGAAAUUUUUUAUCAUGACAUUAUUGAGAGUUACCUGAGACUUAUUAAGAUCCGGAUAUAUGGCCUUCUUUCCCAAUACUCUAGCCAUAACUAUAUGCUUAGAGGCCACCUGCUUCUCCAACUUGCUUUCUGGUAUCAGUGCAUACGCUUUAUUAUUUCUCAUCGUUGGUCUGAUGUAACACAGAUUACGGAUUAACUUUGGUCGCAUGGAUAUGGAACCCAAGUAUAGGUAAUACAGACCAACUCCCUCCGAAGAGAGCACGUCCACUACAAAAAAAAGGACAUUGUAUGGCGACCUAUUGAUGGUGAAUUUCCGCCAUCAAUAAUUCAGUUAUUUUGAUGGCGGUUAUCCGCCAUCAAUUGUUUUAAUCCGUCGAGGAAAGGCUAAGACUCGACGGCGGUUUCAAUUUAUUUUCGAUGGCGGUGUUUUUACAUGGCGGAAAUCCGUCAUCGAUACUAUUUCACCAACGUUUACAUAGGGACGUCCGUCAUCU
Molecule: long non-coding RNA, 1753 nt
Filed under: Zostera marina
Lineage: Eukaryota; Viridiplantae; Streptophyta; Magnoliopsida; Alismatales; Zosteraceae
Description: long non-coding RNA (ZMAR_LNC003906)
Source: RNAcentral